CCAGGCGGUGCUGGGGCCGGUGGAGCGGGGCGGCUACGCGCUGCUCGGCCUGACCCGGGUCGACCCCGCUGUUGUUCGAGUCGAUGCCCUGGGGC
This 95-nucleotide transfer RNA is filed under the name Pseudomonas aeruginosa. RNAcentral's name for it is "tRNA-Arg(acg)". Lineage: Bacteria; Pseudomonadati; Pseudomonadota; Gammaproteobacteria; Pseudomonadales; Pseudomonadaceae. The record is from RNAcentral.